GUAGCCUCCAUGGUGCUUGGAGAAGGCUGUGACUUUCUGAGUGAUACCCCAUUUCAGCCAUUUAGCCCCUCUUCAUCAGAGAACCUUGUUCAUGAUUGGAUGCAGAGAUCAAGAUCAUCUGCCUCCUCAAGUGGUCCAGCCUCCCUGCAGUAGGCCCAGAGCAAAGAAGCAGGUAAGCCAAGGAACUGCUUAUCCAGCUUCUUGACCAACUUGCUGGUUUUCACAGUGAUGCUGUGAAGAUGGGGGCCUGCCCAAGCAUUUCCACCAGGGUCCACUGUACAGAGCUGGUCCCAAGUGUCCAAAGUCCAUUUGGCCUCAAUACUGCAGCCAAUAUUUCCCCCAGAAUCAGCAACCCUUUGACCCUUCCC
This 368-nucleotide long non-coding RNA is filed under the name Homo sapiens (human). Its description in RNAcentral is "LHRI_LNC1110.1". The record is from RNAcentral. Lineage: Eukaryota; Metazoa; Chordata; Mammalia; Primates; Hominidae.